Long non-coding RNA from Dendrobium catenatum, 845 nucleotides. RefSeq lists it as uncharacterized. Lineage: Eukaryota; Viridiplantae; Streptophyta; Magnoliopsida; Asparagales; Orchidaceae. The record is from RefSeq and is a predicted model, not a curated record. The transcript has 2 exons.
AAGCUGCAAGUUAGUCAACAAUAAUCAACACCAAUAUUAAAGGAACAAAGUUACACGCAACCUAAAGAAAACAAUGGUCCUCAGUAAAAAAAUGCAUUUCUUGUCUUAUGAACAUUAAACCCCAUACAUUUAAGGGAUGAGUGGACAAAAAAUCUUUUGGUGAAAUGUGUAUCCCAUGCACUUUUUCAAAAUGAUUGUGUGGCACUGCACGAAAGUUGAACAAAUUAGGAAGAAAAAUAAGUCGCAAAAAAAGAAAUAAGUCCUAAAGUUGUGAACAUAUGCUUACAAUAAAUAAAGCUAAGACAUUAUGUAUUAAUAGGAAUUAAAAUAGAUGGGAUUCACAAAAUCAAACCCAAAUAGUUAGGAUAAGGCCAAUGACGACGGUUGUUGCAAAAUUGGUAAAAUUGAACUUGAAUGACCAAUAUAUAGGCAUCUCAAAUAACUAAAGGUAUAUGCUAUUACCAUAUAUGUGUAUUUAAUAUCAAAAAAUGUUAGCGCUGACUAUAAAGUAUAAGUUUAUAUUUAUGCGCCAAUGAAAGCUUGGGUUUAUGCAUGUGCAUCAAGAUAAUCAUUUGUCCUAGAUGUGUCAUUCAUAUGUUUGGCAAGAUUUUAGAGUAUGUAGUGGUGUCUUUGCCCCAUGUCAGCAUUAGUAUUUCAUACUAAUUCGUAAAUUGACCUGUUUCCCACAUUAGAUAAGCUGUUGUGCCAAAUUUUUUACUAUUGCAAAAAACAAAAUAAAGGUUGUUUUUUAUUUUAGAGAAGUUGCAAAUAGUAACUGUUCGAGUAGAUGAUAGUCAGCACAGAGAGCGAGUCAACAGAAAAAGAGAGAAUAGCAAAAAAAAAAA